RNAcentral lists this transfer RNA (75 nucleotides) under Zenarchopterus dispar (feathered river-garfish). Its description in RNAcentral is "tRNA-Leu". It matches the Rfam family "tRNA". Rfam says of the family: Transfer RNA (tRNA) molecules are approximately 80 nucleotides in length. Their secondary structure includes four short double-helical elements and three loops (D, anti-codon, and T loops). Lineage: Eukaryota; Metazoa; Chordata; Actinopteri; Beloniformes; Zenarchopteridae. The record is from RNAcentral.
GUUGGAGUGGCAGAGCCCGGAAUACUGCAAAAGACCUAAGUCCUUUCCACAAAGGUUCAAAUCCUUUCUCCAACU